UACAUGGGGUGCAAGCGUUGUUCGGAAUUACUGGGCGUAAAGGGCUCGUAGGCGGCCGGCUAAGUCCGACGUGAAAUCCCCAGGCUUAACCUGGGAACUGCGUCGGAUACUGGCGGGCUUGAAUCCGGGAGAGGGAUGCGGAAUUCCAGGUGUAGCGGUGAAAUGCGUAGAUAUCUGGAGGAACACCGGUGGCGAAGGCGGCAUCCUGGACCGGCAUUGACGCUGAAUAGCGAAAGCCAGGGGAGCAAACGGG
Molecule: ribosomal RNA, 253 nt
Filed under: uncultured bacterium
Lineage: Bacteria
Description: partial 16S ribosomal RNA
Rfam family: Bacterial small subunit ribosomal RNA
Source: RNAcentral